RNAcentral lists this long non-coding RNA (5200 nucleotides) under Gallus gallus (chicken). RNAcentral describes it as "lncRNA (ENSGALG00010023692.1)". Lineage: Eukaryota; Metazoa; Chordata; Aves; Galliformes; Phasianidae. The record is from RNAcentral.
ACGUGUUUACUCCGCUGCUACCUUUGAAAGGAGUGGUGCCGGCACCCCCAUGUACUGACUGGGGUUGGUUGAGAGUCCUCACACCACAGGGUGGGAGGGAACAGGCCUGAGCUCUGGUGUGCAGCACAUGCUGAUGCUGCAUUGAAGUGCACGGUGUGCACUUGGCCAUCUUGCUGAGUUUAGCUAAUGGGGUAUUUAUUUCACGGAGAGCUGUGUUGCACCAGAGGUUUUGCAUGCUUAUGGAGAAACCUGUCCCUGUUUAAGCCUUAUAUUUCAGUGACUUUUAACUUGGGCAGAUGUUCAUGCAUGAUUUAGUCUAUUGUUCUGACUGUUAAGUUUGCUGAAGAAUGCACAGUUGGCUUCACUGCCUCAUGAUUUGCAAACAUGGCUGCACUUGGCACAUGGUAGCAGAGCACCUGAGCCUGCCCUGGCGUGGGGCUGCAGCGUCUGUGGGUUUUCCCCUCUAAUUGCUUUUUUCAGAAAUAGGCUCUGUUAGCUGCAGGUCUCAGCACUGAGCGUGCAGAGACAAUCUGUUCUGUACACGUGGUGCUUUCUGUGCUGGCAUCAGUGUGGUGUGGAGGGAGGAAACGCUUGUGAUUCACAUACCAGAGGGCUGAAGAACAGAAAGAAAGGAAAAGAUGCUUGGCUGGGAGACAGAAGAACAGGCCACUGGGAGGAGAGAAAGAAAAGAAUCUGCUACGUCUUUGAAGAGAGAUUUCCUGUGCCCUUCCUCAGAUGUCUGUGAUACUACCAAGAGGAACUGUCUUUCUGUAAGUGGAACUCUUCUUUGAAUAGCACAUUCAUAAUAUGAAUUAAUUGAAAACACUCAUAGUAGUGUGUGUGUUUGUAGAGAAGUCUGAACAGAAUUUAGUAUGCAAAAUAAUUUGUCUUAUAUUCUGAUGGUCUUAACCUCAAAUUUUGUAUGAUUUUUCAUGGCUCAUAAUUGAGAAUAAUGAUGCUCAGGGGAAACUCCUUUUAUUUUUUUUUGCUUUGGACGUUUGAAAUGCAUAGUAAACUUCUAUUCUUAGCUUAGACAGUGAUAAUAAAAGCAGUACGUGUCUCUGUCAACAUUAGUGAAAAAUAAGUCUCUGGGGAUUUCUGAAUGUUUUAUUUAAUGAUGAGAACAGUAAAUCUGUCCUGUGUGGUGUCUGAGUGAGCUGACUUAUAUCAAAACAUCAUUAUUUCAUUUUUAUACGUUACAGCAGUGUUUUCGGAAUAAGUACUGGAAUGAAAGCCAAAAGCUCCCCUCUAGAUUGCAAGAAUCGUAUUGUAGGGAUUGUUAAGGGAUUGAUUUAUAUUUUUUGGUUUAGCAAUUUUGAAGAGGAGGAAGAGGGAGAGCCUUGAUCUGCUUGCUUAGCUUGGUUUGGCAGUUUAAUCAUGGUAGUGCAGCCAUCAAACCUGUGCACUUAUCUGGGUGAUUGAAGAUGAGCACCCCGUGAGAUCUUGAUUUGCAUCUAUACCCUUAAUUACUAUCAGAUUGCAGAAGUAAGGACUUACUAGAAUUACUGAAGAGUAGUGCAUUUGUUUCUUCAGAAAUACGGAUUUUUAUGCUCCGGACUCUUAAUUUUAACUUAGUUGAGCCAUGAGGCUUUUUUAUAUACGUGUUGUAUUUGGCAUUUUUUCUUCAAACUUGGAAAGUGUACACACAUCCCUGAAGUCUUUAGGAUAAUAAUGAACUUUGUUGGAAGUCUCUGAAUGUGAAUUACAGCGGGUAGCUUUACGUUACAGCUAAACAGUACUGUGGAAGAUGGGUGUCUUGCUCCUGCUCCUUCCCUCCUUUGCUCUGGCACUUACCUGAGCCUAAGCUGAUGUGUCACAUCAGCAAAAAGAGGCUGUUUUGGUUUUUGUUAGGAGGUAGUUUUCUACUGUUUUGGAAGCUGAAUGUAUUUGUAAUGCAAGGAAAUAAGCGUGAGCCUGGAAAAUUGAAGAAUGGAGCAGGGGCAGGGAGAAGAAUUAAUUUCCUUUCUUUUGAGCCCUUAAAUUUCUCCUUUCUGGAAGCCAGAGAAAUGCAUCUGCUGGAUGCAGCAGGAGAUGAGAAGGGCCAACAUUUGGAAGCAGAGUGUUGGUUUAGGCAUAGCAUGAACAACAGCUACUCUGGGAGUUGCAAGGAUUGGGAUGGAAAAGGCAGAGAGGUAUGGAAGGCUGCUUGGCUCAUGAAGUCUGAGAGGGGGACUGCAUGGCCCAGGUGACAGCUGCUUGGAGCAAGCCAGAAACGGCCCCACAGUUCCCCAUCCCCUGCAUGAGGGAAGCAGCAGGAAGGCAGUUUCAAGGGAGGGAGGCUUAGGAACUGCUGUGGUGAUCAGUCAGUUUGCAGAGUAUUUGAACUGGGAAAACAAAUGGGCUGCCUGUACUAACUGUUCUCUCCUGAGAGGGAACAGUGCUGUGGUUAUAAAUGCAAGCGUAGGGAUCUAGUAGUCACAGCAGUGGUACCAAAAAGUAACAGUUGUGAAUGCUAUUACUUUUUACAUAACUCAGAUUUUAAAAUUAUCAGUGGUUUUUGGUAUACAGAAUUAGUGGCAAGUAUGGAUGGAUUAGUAUGUGAGCCUUUUAAUGCUAAAAACAGAAACUAAUGAGAUUACUGGAUCCUAUGUCACAAACCAUUGACUUUUCUCUCCCCUCCAGGAAGGAAAAAAAAAAAAAGGAAAACAACCCCCCCCUCCACUAUCUCUUAUUUGUCAUUAGGGACAAAAAAAAAAAGUCAAAGCCUUACUUACUGGUCUGAUUGCUGAUACUUAAAGUAAUUGCGUAAAUUGGGACAUCUAAGUGAUGUUUUAGGUGUAAAACUAUAAGAAGAAAUUUGUGAAAAGGAGCUUGACCUAUAAGAGACUUCAGCCUUUAUGUUUGAUGUAAAUGAAUUGAGCAAAAAAUUGGAGAGCUUGCUUUUUCUCGUACCUGCUUUACGUAAGUGUUCUUUACUGGCACCAAAACUGUAUUUUGUUCUCCUGAAUUUAUUUAAUAGCCUUUCCAGCAAUUUCAUCUGAUCAUCCACUGUUAGUUUUUUUUUUUAAAAAAGCACUAGAUUUAUUUUUAGAAGUUCAGACUCUUAGGAAUGUGACAAUAUCACAUGAGUAGGCCAGUUACUGGAGAAAGAGCCAUACACACUGCAAAAUAUGGAAUAAUGAGGCUAGGAGCCUGUGCUGUCGCCAUUCAGUUUAACAUAGCUGGAAAUAUAAGAAAGUAAGCAAAUUAUUUGAUGAGUUAGCAGUGAACCUGGCUGUAACAAUUUUACAGAAGCAAGGGCAGCCAACAGCUUGUCAGUUUGAUGGAUGGCCCCCAAAGUUUUUUUUUUAAAAGGAAAUCACUCAAAUCUAUUGCUUUCAUAGGAUUUACCAGCGUGUAUCAGUUCUCAGCUGCUGGCCUGGGAACCACCAGUGGAAUGUAAAGCCUGUCUAUCAUCUGUAAACUGAAGUAUUUUCAAUAACCGUGCAAUUCAGCAGCAGAAGAGGAGUAAUUAAAUGUCUUAUAAAAUGCUGAAGAAAACAAUUAGCAAGCAGAAAAGUUGGAGAUCAAUGUAGAAGUAUCUUCCCAGUGGUCCCCAGACUAGGCAACAUGACAGUUAUCUCCCUAACUUUUCAUAAGUGAGGCUACCCUGACUGACUUCAGUUACAAACAUCCUUGCCUGUGCUGCUGCAUCCUGCUGUGCAGAACUCGCAGUGUGUGCACUCAUGGAGUUAGGGCUGUAUUGGACCAGAGAGAUUAUCGUGUUACAAAGGAGAAAUGAAAUAAAGAUCUUACCCACGUCCUGGGCUCACAGAAGGGCUCCAAGGGGAAGGAUCUCCAGCCCUUAAAUGGGGUCUAGGAGGGGUGCAGUCAGGCUCCACCCCUUCUGGUCACUCAGGUGAAAUUGCAUUCACCUGUGCCCCUGCAGCUGACUCAACACUCGCCUCAGGUGGUCAAUCAGAGGUUCAGCCCGUGAUUCAACUGUUCCCAUACACCUAAACAGAAAUGAUUCUCUUAUCUCACAUGUGAGAAUAAAAUAUGAUACAAACUAUUCUGUGACUGAGGAAAGAUAUCUGAGUGGUGCAUAGUGAGUCAACACAUCACAAGUCCAUUUUUCCACGUCUGUAUGGGAAAGGAGGGAGGGAAAGUGAUGUUUUGAGUAGGAGGCUUCUUUCGGAUUUUUCUCUUCAUUUUAGGUGAAGUCAGUGUUCUGCAUUUGUUAAUGGCAAAAAUCAGUUCAGGAAAUGGUUCUAAUUUAAUGAAGCCUUUAUGUAAUUGAUUUUUUUCUUCUAGUAUAGAAUAUUGUUGCAAGAAUUCUUUCCUUAAACUUUUUAAUUAAGUAGAAAUAAUUACCAAUAUGUAGUCAUAUUUUUGAUGAAAUACUUGGUGUAUUCUUCCAUGUGACUUGAGUUCUAUAGAGUUCCCCUGUAAUGCUCGGAAUACAAAUAUUUCCAGAACACCAGUGAUCGCUUUUUAGUUCAGAUAACUUACUGUAAGGUGUUGGUUAAGAGGAGCAUAAGAACAAACAUAGGGGGUCAGGCUGUGCAUCCAUUUACCUUAGCAACCCUCUUUAGAUCAUCGUGCUCACUCAGCAUCAGAUGCUUAGAGAAGAACAUGAGAGCAGAGGAAGCAUACAUUGAUUGGUCUUUACCACUUUAUUUGCUCUAACUUUCAGCAGACUCUUGAAUCAGUGGAAACGUAUGUAUAUAACAUGCUUUAGUAGAUUAUGCUUUUGUUGAUUCAUGUAGCAAGAAAUGUUUCUAGAGUCUAGUAAUACUCUAUUCUAUGUGGCUUGUACAGAUACUGUCAUUGUUUUGAAAAUUGUAUCUAUUAUUUGCUGCCCAACUGUACUGUUAGGAGAAAAAGCAAAUGAUGAUUUCCUAUGCCUCUUUUCCAUGUUUUCCGUGAUUUUAUAGACCUUCUGUUUUUUAUCAGCUGUCUGCUUCAGAGCAAAGGGCUCUUAAUCCCUGGCAGAUACUGAAAGAACUUCCUGCUUGCCUGUUCCUGUUUCCUUCGCUGUCAUAAAUGUUCAUACAGUCACACAAAGACAGACUGAGGAAACAAUCCAUGUAAAAAAUGCUGUUCCCCAUCUGUAUGUACUUCUGACAGUUCAGCUCAGCCAGCCCAUCCCACUGUGUGGUGCAUGGGCAUGCGAUGGCAGGAACAGGAAUAAACUGUGGAGACCUCCUUAGCUAUGUGGGCUUCAGCCCUGUCUGCUCUCUGAAAACUUCUUGGUGUUGUUCUCUCACCUGGUAUUAAG